RNAcentral lists this ribosomal RNA (381 nucleotides) under uncultured bacterium. RNAcentral's name for it is "bacterial SSU rRNA". It matches the Rfam family "Bacterial small subunit ribosomal RNA", at positions 29 to 430 of the family's 1533-position model. The record is from RNAcentral.
AACGAACGCUGGCGGCAUGCCUAACACAUGCAAGUCGAACGGGAUCCUAGCUUGCUAGGUGAGAGUGGCGGACGGGUGAGUAACACGUGGGAAUCUGCCUUUUGGUUCGGGAUAACCGCGGGAAACUGCGGCUAAUACCGAAUGCCCUCGAGAGAGGAAAGAUUUAUCGCCAGAAGAGGAGCCCGCGUCCGAUUAGGUAGUUGGUGGGGUAAAGGCCUACCAAGCCGACGAUCGGUAGCUGGUCUGAGAGGAUGAUCAGCCACACUGGGACUGAGAUACGGCCCAGACUCCUACGGGAGGCAGCAGUGGGAAUAUUGGACAAUGGGGGCAACCCUGAUCCAGCAAUGCCGCGUGAGUGAUGAAGGCCUUAGGGUUGUAAAG